UACGAAGGGGGCUAGCGUUGCUUGGAAUCACUGGGCGUAAAGGGUGCGUAGGCGGGUCUUUAAGUCAGGGGUGAAAUCCUGGAGCUCAACUCCAGAACUGCCUUUGAUACUGGAAGAUCUUGAGUUCGGGAGAGGUGAGUGGAACUGCGAGUGUAGAGGUGAAAUUCGUAGAUAUUCGCAAGAACACCAGUGGCGAAGGCGGCUCACUGGCCCGAUACUGACGCUGAGGCACGAAAGCGUGGGGAGCAAACAGGG
This 255-nucleotide ribosomal RNA is filed under the name uncultured bacterium. RNAcentral describes it as "partial 16S ribosomal RNA". It matches the Rfam family "Bacterial small subunit ribosomal RNA", at positions 524 to 777 of the family's 1533-position model. The record is from RNAcentral.